UCGGUGAAACGUUUUAACAGCUGCGGUAUUUUAACUGUACUAAGGUAGCAUAAUAAUUUGCCUUAUAAUUUGAGGCUAGAAUGAAUGGUUUGACGAAGGUUAAUCUGUCUCCACUUUAUUUUUUAGAAAUUAAUUUUCAUAGUGAAAAAGCUUGAAUUUUUUAAGGGGACGAGAAGACCCUACUGAGCUUAUAAUUUUAUUAAAACAUAUAUUCAUAUAUAUUGUGUUAUAUAAAUUUUAAUUGGGGUGAUUAAGGAAUAAUAUUAUUAUAUAUGUAACUUCCUUAGAAAUAUUAUAUUGUUGAAUAAAGUAACCGAUAAAUUAAUGUAAUUAUUAUGUAUUGCUUAUAAUAUAGUUACCAUAGGGAUAACAGCGUAAUUUACUUAGAGAGUUCUUAUUGAAAAGUAAGAUUGCGACCUCGAUGUUGGAUUAAAGUAACCUUAAGGUGCAGAAGCUUUAUGGGGUAAAUCUGUUCGAUUUU
This 481-nucleotide ribosomal RNA is filed under the name Uroteuthis sp. 3N JATM-2019. Its description in RNAcentral is "partial 16S ribosomal RNA". It matches the Rfam family "Bacterial large subunit ribosomal RNA", at positions 1863 to 2588 of the family's 2925-position model. The record is from RNAcentral. Lineage: Eukaryota; Metazoa; Mollusca; Cephalopoda; Myopsida; Loliginidae.